Molecule: long non-coding RNA, 576 nt
Organism: Apis laboriosa (Himalayan honeybee)
Lineage: Eukaryota; Metazoa; Arthropoda; Insecta; Hymenoptera; Apidae
Exons: 3
Source: RefSeq, a predicted model, not a curated record
UUGUAUUGUUUGUAUUGUAGAAUUUCAAAUUUGAUAGAAUUGAUUUUAAUAUUUGAUAUUAAAGUAUUCUGAGAUUAAUAGAUUCUAUACAAUUUGUAACUUUUAAUAAUAUUUAGAUAGAUAAUGUCCACAUUGAAACUAUGAUACGGAUAGCAAAUUUCAUAUUGAUAUUUAUUCAAAUUUUUAAUACCACGAUUAUAUUUGAGAAUAUAAACGAGCGAAAGUUUUUUGCACAAGUUGCAGAUAAGUUUGACUUUUGUUGAACUUCGCAUUUGUGAAAGUGGAUCUUAAAUAUACAUGAUGGAAUUUAAAAUUUAUGAAGAUAGAUGUUUUGUAUAAAUGAUAAUACAUGGGAAAUUACUGAGUAGAAGAUAUUUUAAACAACAUAAAUAUACAUUAUUGAUGAAUGUUCAGAAAUAUUUGUAAACUUUGAAGCGACGCAUCUAAUUGCAUAUCUUUAGCUUUUCGUUCCUUGAUUAUCACGAGGCAGCAGUUAUUUGCAUACAUCGCAUAUCUUCGUUUCAGCGUUUCGAGAGAAAUGAGGUUCGUGAAUAAUUAUUUUACUUUGGUAUUUAU